GGGGAUAUGGCUCAGUUGGUAGAGUGUUGACCUUGCAUGUACAAGGCUCUGGGUUCAAUCCCCAGCACCCA
This 71-nucleotide transfer RNA is filed under the name Ictidomys tridecemlineatus (thirteen-lined ground squirrel). RNAcentral's name for it is "Spermophilus tridecemlineatus (thirteen-lined ground squirrel) tRNA". It matches the Rfam family "tRNA". From Rfam's summary of the family: Transfer RNA (tRNA) molecules are approximately 80 nucleotides in length. Their secondary structure includes four short double-helical elements and three loops (D, anti-codon, and T loops). Lineage: Eukaryota; Metazoa; Chordata; Mammalia; Rodentia; Sciuridae. The record is from Rfam by way of RNAcentral.